UACCAAGGAGUUACCACACAGCCGUGGCACAGACAUAGGCCUCAGGUCUCGGGCCUCAGAGCUAGACCCCGCCAUCUCACAAUGUCUGAGGGGACCGAGGAACAGGAUUUUUUUAUUGUAACUGUUGACGACAGUGAUGAUAACAAUGAUUACAGUAUUGAGAUAGUGGAAGAUUCUGAAACAGCAGAUAAUUCCACUGAUGACAUAGCAAAUAAUUCCACUUAUGACACAGCAGAUAAUCCCACUGAUGACACAGCAACAGAACCAAAUUUUCCAGGCGGCAGUGAUGACCAUCACCGUCCACUCCAAAUGUCAUAUGUAGCCCAUGGUGACCAAACCAUUUCACAGAUCAAAUGCCCAGUACAUUUAAGAAGAUACAGUUACAACUCAGAGGAAGUGGAUUUGCCAAAAAGAGGAAGAUUAUCUACUCCAGAGGUAGAUAUUAUGGUUUGUUUAUUAAAGUGAAAAUCUCUCUUUGUUCUUU
RNAcentral lists this long non-coding RNA (484 nucleotides) under Rhinopithecus bieti (black snub-nosed monkey). RNAcentral's name for it is "lncRNA (ENSRBIG00000045904.1)". Lineage: Eukaryota; Metazoa; Chordata; Mammalia; Primates; Cercopithecidae. The record is from RNAcentral.